Molecule: ribosomal RNA, 488 nt
Filed under: uncultured bacterium
Lineage: Bacteria
Description: bacterial SSU rRNA
Rfam family: Bacterial small subunit ribosomal RNA
Source: RNAcentral
UGACAUCGAUGGAAGGCUCUAGAGAUAGGGCCCUCUCCCACAAGGAGACCAGAAGACAGAUGUUGCAUGGCUGUCGUCAGCUCGUGCCGUGAGGUGUACGGUUAAGUCCGCCAACGAGCGCAACCCUCGUCUUGUGUUACCAGCGAGUAAAGUCGGGCACUCACAAGAGACCGCCGGUGUAAGCCGGAGGAAGGUGGGGAUGAUGUCAAGUCAGCAUGGCUCUUACGAGUGGGGCUUCACACAUGCUACAAUGGGCGAAACAAAGGGCAGCGAUACCGCGAGGUGGAGCAAAUCCCAAAAAUACGUCCUCAGUUCAGAUUGCAGUCUGCAACUCGACUGCAUGAAGGCGGAAUCGCUAGUAAACGCAGGUCAGCUGUACUGCGUUGAAUACGUUCCCGGGUCUUGUACACACCGCCCGUCAAGUCACUUGAAUUGUCUUCACCCGAAGUCCGUGGCCCAACCCGCAAGGGAGGGAGCGGCCGAAGGUG